CUAAACCACAGAACAUCUGACCAAAAAUGAUCCGGCUAAUAAAACCGAUCAACGGACCAAGUUACCCUAGGGAUAACAGCGCAAUCCUCUCCCAGAGUCCAUAUCGACGAGGGGGUUUACGACCUCGAUGUUGGAUCAGGACAUCCUAAUGGUGCAGCCGCGAAUAUACUUCAGCUCGUCGUAUCA
This 186-nucleotide ribosomal RNA is filed under the name Hypophthalmichthys molitrix (silver carp). RNAcentral describes it as "partial large subunit ribosomal RNA". It matches the Rfam family "Bacterial large subunit ribosomal RNA", at positions 2389 to 2591 of the family's 2925-position model. The record is from RNAcentral. Lineage: Eukaryota; Metazoa; Chordata; Actinopteri; Cypriniformes; Xenocyprididae.